RNAcentral lists this ribosomal RNA (460 nucleotides) under uncultured bacterium. Its description in RNAcentral is "partial 16S ribosomal RNA". It matches the Rfam family "Bacterial small subunit ribosomal RNA", at positions 338 to 795 of the family's 1533-position model. The record is from RNAcentral.
CCUACGUGCGGCAGCAGUGAGGAAUAUUGGUCAAUGGACGAAAGUCUGAACCAGCCAAGUAGCGUGAAGGAUGACGGCUCUAUGGGUUGUCAACUUCUUUUCUAAAGGACUAAACCUAGGCACGUGUGCCUUUUUGCAUGUACUUUAUGAAUAAGGAUCGGCUAACUCCGUGCCAGCAGCCGCGGUAAUACGGAGGAUCCGAGCGUUAUCCGGAUUUAUUGGGUUUAAAGGGAGCGUAGAUGGGUUGUUAAGUUAGUUGUGAAAGUUUGCGGCUCAACCGUGAAAUUGCAAUUGAUACUGGCAGGAUAGAGUACAGUUGAGGUAAGCGGAAUGCGUGGUGUAGCGGUGAAAUGCUUAGAGAUCACGAAGAACACCGAUUGCGAAGGCAGCUUACUAAACUGUGACUGACAUUGAGGCACGAAAGUGUGGGUAGCAAACAGGAUUAGAUACCCUGGUAGUC